Molecule: ribosomal RNA, 253 nt
Filed under: uncultured bacterium
Lineage: Bacteria
Description: partial 16S ribosomal RNA
Rfam family: Bacterial small subunit ribosomal RNA
Source: RNAcentral
UACGUAGGGUGCGAGCGUUAAUCGGAAUUACUGGGCGUAAAGCGUGCGCAGGCGGUGAUGUAAGACAGAUGUGAAAUCCCCGGGCUCAACCUGGGAACUGCAUCUGUGACUGCAUAGCUAGAGUACGGUAGAGGGGGAUGGAAUUCCGCGUGUAGCAGUGAAAUGCGUAGAUAUGCGGAGGAACACCGAUGGCGAAGGCAAUCCCCUGGACCUGUACUGACGCUCAUGCACGAAAGCGUGGGGAGCAAACAGG